RNAcentral lists this ribosomal RNA (440 nucleotides) under uncultured bacterium. RNAcentral describes it as "partial 16S ribosomal RNA". It matches the Rfam family "Bacterial small subunit ribosomal RNA", at positions 338 to 795 of the family's 1533-position model. The record is from RNAcentral.
CCUACGGGUGGCAGCAGUAGGGAAUAUUGCUCAAUGGGGGAAACCCUGAAGCAGCAACGCCGCGUGGUGGAUGAAGGUUUUCGGAUUGUAAACUCCUUUUGUUAGAGACGAUAAUGACGGUAUCUAACGAAUAAGCACCGGCUAACUACGUGCCAGCAGCCGCGGUAAUACGGAGGGUGCAAGCGUUACUCGGAAUCACUGGGCGUAAAGGGCGCGUAGGCGGGCUAGCAAGUCAGAUGUGAAAUCCUAUGGCUUAACCAUAGAACUGCAUUUGAAACUGUGAUUCUAGAGUUGGGGAGAGGUAGGUGGAAUUCUUGGUGUAGGGGUAAAAUGCGUAGAGAUCAAGAGGAAUACUCAUUGCGAAGGCGACCUGCUAGAACAUAACUGACGCUGAUGCGCGAAAGCGUGGGGAGCAAACAGGAUUAGAUACCCCGGUAGUC